Molecule: ribosomal RNA, 497 nt
Filed under: uncultured bacterium
Lineage: Bacteria
Description: partial 16S ribosomal RNA
Rfam family: Bacterial small subunit ribosomal RNA
Source: RNAcentral
GAUGAACGCUGGCGGCGUGCCUAAUACAUGCAAGUCGAGCGAACAGACCAGGAGCUGGCCCCUCUGACGUUAGCGGCGGACGGGUGAGAAACACGUGGAUAACCUACCUAUAAGACGGGGAUAACCUCGGGAAACCGGAGCUAAUACCGGACAAGAUAUUGAACCGCAUGGUGCAAUAGUGAAAGACGGUUUUGCUGUAACUUAUAGAUGGAUCCGCGCCGCAUUAGCUAGUUGGGAGGGUAACGGCCUACCAAGGCAACGAUGCGUAGCCGACCUGAGAGGGUGGUCGGCGGCCCUGGAGCUGAGACGCGGACCAGGGUCCUGCGGGAGGGAGCAGUAGGGAAUCUUCCGCAGUGGGCGGGAGCCUUGCGGAGCAGCGCCGCGUGAGUUAUGACGGUCUUCGGUUCGUGAAACUCGGUUAUUGGGGAAGAACAAAUGUGUAAGUAACUGUGCACGUAUUGACGGUACCUGAACAGAAAGCCCCGGCUAACUACGUG